RNAcentral lists this ribosomal RNA (253 nucleotides) under uncultured bacterium. RNAcentral's name for it is "partial 16S ribosomal RNA". It matches the Rfam family "Bacterial small subunit ribosomal RNA", at positions 524 to 776 of the family's 1533-position model. The record is from RNAcentral.
UACGUAGGCAGCAAGCGUUGUUCGGAAUUAUUGGGCGUAAAGAGCUCGUAGGCGGUUUGUCGCGUCUGCCGUGAAAGUCCGGGGCUCAACUCCGGAUCUGCGGUGGGUACGGGCAGACUAGAGUGAUGUAGGGGAGACUGGAAUUCCUGGUGUAGCGGUGAAAUGCGCAGAUAUCAGGAGGAACACCGAUGGCGAAGGCAGGUCUCUGGGCAUUAACUGACGCUGAGGAGCGAAAGCAUGGGGAGCGAACAGG